RNAcentral lists this ribosomal RNA (531 nucleotides) under Escherichia coli. RNAcentral describes it as "bacterial SSU rRNA". It matches the Rfam family "Bacterial small subunit ribosomal RNA", at positions 23 to 549 of the family's 1533-position model. Lineage: Bacteria; Pseudomonadati; Pseudomonadota; Gammaproteobacteria; Enterobacterales; Enterobacteriaceae. The record is from RNAcentral.
CUCAGGAUAAACGCUGGCGGCAUGCCUAAUACAUGCAAGUCGAACGGGGGUGCUUGCACCCCAGUGGCGAACGGGUGAGUAACACGUAUCUAACCUACCUCAUAGCGGGGGAUAACUUUUGGAAACGAAAGAUAAUACCGCAUAUGAAUCUUAUUAUCGCAUGAGAAAAGAUUGAAAGGACCGUUUGGUUCACUAUGAGAUGGGGAUGCGGCGUAUUAGUUAGUAGGUGAGGUAAUGGCUCACCUAGGCGAUGAUACGUAGCCGAACUGAGAGGUUGAUCGGCCACAUUGGGACUGAGAUACGGCCCAGACUCCUACGGGAGGCAGCAGUAGGGAAUUUUUCACAAUGGACGAAAGUCUGAUGAAGCAAUGCCGUGUGAGUGAUGACGGCCUUUGGGUUGUAAAGCUCUGUUGUAAGGGAAGAAAAAAUAGAGUAGGAAAUGCCUCUAUAUUGACGGUACCUUACCAGAAAGCCACGGCUAACUAUGUGCCAGCAGCCGCGGUAAUACAUAGGUGGCAAGCGUUAUCCGGG